UCAGGACGAACGCUGGCGGCGUGCCUAACACAUGCAAGUCGAACGGAGAAUUUGAGAAGUUUACUUUGAAAAAUUCUUAGUGGCGGACGGGUGAGUAACGCGUGGGUAACCUACCCAUAAAUCCGGGACAACCCUUGGAAACGAGGGCUAAUACCGGAUAAUCUUCNANCUUGGCAUCAAGNUUGAAGGAAAGAUGGCCUCUGAAUAUGCUAUCGAUUAUGGAUGGACCCGCGUCUGAUUAGCUAGUUGGUGGGGUAAAGGCCUACCAAGGCGACGAUCAGUAGCCGGCCUGAGAGGGUGAACGGCCACACUGGGACUGAGACACGGCCCAGACUCCUACGGGAGGCAGCAGUGGGGAAUCUUCCGCAAUGGACGAAAGUCUGACGGAGCAACGCCGCGUGUAUGAUGAAGGUCUUCGGAUUAUAAAGUACUGUCUUUGGGGAAGAACGGUCGAUUUGAAAAUAUUGAGUCGACAUGACG
RNAcentral lists this ribosomal RNA (480 nucleotides) under uncultured Desulfosporosinus sp. RNAcentral's name for it is "bacterial SSU rRNA". It matches the Rfam family "Bacterial small subunit ribosomal RNA", at positions 24 to 474 of the family's 1533-position model. The record is from RNAcentral. Lineage: Bacteria; Bacillati; Bacillota; Clostridia; Eubacteriales; Desulfitobacteriaceae.